UGGCUUAAUGGUUAAAAGCACUGGAUGAUCCUCCAGAAGACCUGGGUUUGAUUCCCAG
This 58-nucleotide transfer RNA is filed under the name Mesocricetus auratus (golden hamster). It matches the Rfam family "tRNA", at positions 8 to 63 of the family's 71-position model. From Rfam's summary of the family: Transfer RNA (tRNA) molecules are approximately 80 nucleotides in length. Their secondary structure includes four short double-helical elements and three loops (D, anti-codon, and T loops). Lineage: Eukaryota; Metazoa; Chordata; Mammalia; Rodentia; Cricetidae. The record is from Rfam by way of RNAcentral.